CUGUUAUCACCCCUCUACUAUAUGACAGCCAACUAGUUGUGAGAGGCAAGAGUGGAGAGAGGAACAGUAUGUUAGAGGAGGGGCUUCUGUCCCACACAGAGCCCUCCCUCUUUUUGCCAAGCAGUGUAAAACCUCUUCUUGGAGUUUAUAAUAUCUGGAUGCCAGAAGUAGCUACAUUACCACCCAGAGCACUGAUGCCUUUCUUGUUUCUCUGAAAGGGAGAGCUUCUCCUUCAAAAGUCUAUUUCUGAGUCAGAGCUGGGAGAGCACAUCCAGACAAAGCAAAUAUGGUCCCCUUGGAUGGCUGGUCAGCCCCAUCCCAGGACUUCUGAAGAGUGGCAAACAGUAGUCCACCCUAAAGAGACCAGCAGACAGCAGUCCCUGGAGGAGCAGUCCCUCUAAGGCAGCUUGGAACCACUCACGUGCUCUGGAAAGGACAGAGCUGAGCCUGGAGCAAGGGGGGAGGAGGAGGGGAGAGACAAGAUAAUGAAUGGGCAGAUCCACCCUGAUCUAUGAUCUGUAGCUAGGAUUGAGCAAAUCUCAGCUAAAUUCUUCAGAAGCAGGAAGAGAUACACACUUAGAGAAAAACAUAACUAGAGGACUGGCUCGGGGGAGACGGGGCAAGACAAGACGACAGUUCAUUCCUAAUAAGUGACCCAGAUUUCAAA
Microcebus murinus (gray mouse lemur) is the source of this 667-nucleotide non-coding RNA. Lineage: Eukaryota; Metazoa; Chordata; Mammalia; Primates; Cheirogaleidae. The record is from RefSeq and is a predicted model, not a curated record.